RNAcentral lists this ribosomal RNA (1165 nucleotides) under Providencia stuartii. RNAcentral's name for it is "partial 23S ribosomal RNA". It matches the Rfam family "Bacterial large subunit ribosomal RNA", at positions 591 to 1756 of the family's 2925-position model. The record is from RNAcentral. Lineage: Bacteria; Pseudomonadati; Pseudomonadota; Gammaproteobacteria; Enterobacterales; Morganellaceae.
GGGUGACUGCGUACCUUUUGUAUAAUGGGUCAGCGACUUAUAUUCUGUAGCAAGGUUAACCGAAUAGGGGAGCCGUAGGGAAACCGAGUCUUAACUGGGCGAAUGAGUUGCAGGGUAUAGACCCGAAACCCGGUGAUCUAGCCAUGGGCAGGUUGAAGGUUGGGUAACACUAACUGGAGGACCGAACCGACUAAUGUUGAAAAAUUAGCGGAUGACUUGUGGCUGGGGGUGAAAGGCCAAUCAAACCGGGAGAUAGCUGGUUCUCCCCGAAAGCUAUUUAGGUAGCGCCUCGUGAACUCAUCUUCGGGGGUAGAGCACUGUUUCGGCUAGGGGGUCAUCCCGACUUACCAACCCGAUGCAAACUACGAAUACCGAAGAAUGUUAUCACGGGAGACACACGGCGGGUGCUAACGUUCGUCGUGAAGAGGGAAACAACCCAGACCGCCAGCUAAGGUCCCAAAGUCAUGGUUAAGUGGGAAACGAAGUGGGAAGGCUCAGACAGCCAGGAUGUUGGCUUAGAAGCAGCCAUCAUUUAAAGAAAGCGUAAUAGCUCACUGGUCGAGUCGGCCUGCGCGGAAGAUGUAACGGGGCUAAACCAUGCACCGAAGCUGCGGCAGCGACAUGUAAAUGUUGUUGGGUAGGGGAGCGUUCUGUAAGCCUGUGAAGGUGUGCUGCGAGGCAUGCUGGAGGUAUCAGAAGUGCGAAUGCUGACAUAAGUAACGAUAAUGCGGGUGAAAAACCCGCACGCCGGAAGACCAAGGGUUCCUGUCCAACGUUAAUCGGGGCAGGGUGAGUCGACCCCUAAGGCGAGGCAGAAAUGCGUAGUCGAUGGGAAACAGGUUAAUAUUCCUGUACUGGUGAUAAUUGCGAUGGGGGGACGGAGAAGGCUAGGCUGGCCGGGCGACGGUUGUCCCGGUUUAAGGAUGUAGGUGGGUGAAUUAGGCAAAUCCGGUUCGCUAUACACUGAGGUCUGAUGACGAGUCACUACGGUGGCGAAGUAGCUCAUGCCCCGCUUCCAGGAAAAGCCUCUAAGCUCUAGAUUAUCAUUAAUCGUACCCCAAACCGACACAGGUGGUCAGGUAGAGAAUACUCAGGCGCUUGAGAGAACUCGGGUGAAGGAACUAGGCAAAAUGGUGCCGUAACUUCGGGAGAAGGCACGCUGGCA